CCAAUUGAGAUUUUAACACGAAGUGAGUGGCGAACGGGUGAGUAACACGUGGGUAACCUGCCCAGAAGUAGGGGAUAACACCUGGAAACAGAUGCUAAUACCGUAUAAUAGAGAAAACCGCAUGGUUUUCUUUUGAAAGAUGGCUCUGCUAUCACUUCUGGAUGGACCCGCGGCGCAUUAGCUAGUUGGUAAGGUAAAGGCUUACCAAGGCAGUGAUGCGUAGCCGACCUGAGAGGGUAAUCGGCCACAUUGGGACUGAGACACGGCCCAGACUCCUACGGGAGGCAGCAGUAGGGAAUCUUCCACAAUGGACGCAAGUCUGAUGGAGCAACGCCGCGUGAGUGAAGAAGGGUUUCGGCUCGUAAAGCUCUGUUGUUAAAGAAGAACGUGGGUGAGAGUAACUGUUCACCCAGUGACGGUAUUUAACCAGAAAGCCACGGCUAACUACGUGCCAGCAGCCGCGGUAAUACG
RNAcentral lists this ribosomal RNA (471 nucleotides) under Pediococcus stilesii. RNAcentral's name for it is "bacterial SSU rRNA". It matches the Rfam family "Bacterial small subunit ribosomal RNA", at positions 70 to 527 of the family's 1533-position model. Lineage: Bacteria; Bacillati; Bacillota; Bacilli; Lactobacillales; Lactobacillaceae. The record is from RNAcentral.